GACAGAGGGUGCAAACGUUGUUCGGAAUUACUGGGCGUAAAGCGCGUGUAGGCGGCUUCGCAAGUCGGGUGUGAAAGCCCUGGGCUCAACCCAGGAAGUGCAUUCGAAACUGCGGAGCUGGAGUCCUGGAGAGGAAGGCGGAAUUCUCGGUGUAGAGGUGAAAUUCGUAGAUAUCGAGAGGAACGUCGGUGGCGAAGGCGGCCUUCUGGACAGCGACUGACGCUGAGACGCGAAAGCGUGGGGAGCAAACAGG
This 253-nucleotide ribosomal RNA is filed under the name uncultured bacterium. RNAcentral describes it as "partial 16S ribosomal RNA". It matches the Rfam family "Bacterial small subunit ribosomal RNA", at positions 524 to 776 of the family's 1533-position model. The record is from RNAcentral.